RNAcentral lists this long non-coding RNA (3587 nucleotides) under Pelobates cultripes (western spadefoot toad). Lineage: Eukaryota; Metazoa; Chordata; Amphibia; Anura; Pelobatidae. The record is from RNAcentral.
CACCACUGCAUAUGCCACCUGCACUAUUAGGACAGACCUUGCUCCCCUUGUGAAGAGACCUCCUGUUGAGAUUGUGCAUAUGCGCAUUCAUACCUGAGAAGCAGACUGCGCAUAAACCAAUGGCAGCUAACAUCUUAUAAAGCAGAUGGAAAGGGGUUUAUGGGUUAUACUCCAUAGACAAUUAUAAGCCGCUUCUUGGUCAGGGUGGAGUCAUUCCUACCUAUUUAUUGCAUACAUUUUAAGAUUUGCUGUUGUAGAUGGUGCAGAUAAGGGGCCUACCAUUUAUAAUAUCUGUGCACUGGUGCUCAGGGAUGGAAUGUAGCUUUAGCGGGGACAUUUGCUUCAAUGCAAGAUGAAUACCAGCCCUGUACCAAAAUGCAAGAUUAAAAUUAGUUUCAUUAUACACUGUUGGAUAGAAUGCGUUAAGGAUUUCACUGCUUGCGCACAGGUGUAUAGAAAACAUGUGCUUAUAAUUGACUUCUGCACAUCCAGUUAUUCUUACAUAUUUUUUAAUACAGAAUUUGAGACUCACUGACUAAAACAUUUUAUUCUAAUCCUUGGUAAACCACGAGACUUACAAAGUUUACAUUAUAUCCCAGCAGGUAGAAAGCAGCUUAUUCUGCUCAGACAGUGGAAAAGUUCCAGAUGGAUAUGAGCUUUUAGAGUGAUUAAUGGGACGAAAUAUUUCUCUUAAUAUUUUCACACAAUAAAAGAUCCAUUGGAGUUUACCUUUAAAUCUUGUUGAAAAGACGCUUUGACACAUUAUCUAAAUAAUUGUGUUACACACAUUCAAAUAAUGUCUGGAGACCGAUUAGGAAAAGGACAGGUUUGACAGUAAACCCAAGUACUUAGCAACUGUAAAAGUUAAAUGUUUAUAUAAGGUUUUUUGGGGUUGUGUGUGUAAAUUUUAAUGACACAGAAUAUAAAAAAAGAUGUCCCUUCAGAAGUCUGAAUUAAUGUGAUUUCACAAAUUUCAUUCAAACACAUUAGGGGACAUUUAGUUAUUAUCGUGGAGUAAAGAGAUACUAUAAUAUAAGUGAUGUUUGAACGCUUUAAACAAAUAAUAUUUUAGAAAUAAAUAAAAAAUUUGAACAUUCUGGAAGAAAUCCCCAAGAAUUUCCCAUGAUUCAAAGGACCUUUACAGCAGCCAGGAAGUGGCUCCGCUAGUUUAGACAAUCACAGGGGUAUUCAAUAAUUUGACAAUUGUUAGGAAUUCAAAAGGAAUUGAAAGUGCAUUUCAAAUGAAAGACCAAAGGGAUCUGAACUGGUAGGAAAGUUGACUCAAAUAAUUUUCCAAUAAAGUUGGUAAUUCACUUUAGUAAAUAGUCCUUCUGCAAUUUCUUCAGUUCAAAAGGUAUUUAAAACGUGUUGAGCACACCAGACCCACAUUUGUGCUAGUUUAUGAUGCUUUAUAAGCCAUGCUUCCAAAUAGUUAAAGGAAACCACUCGUACCGUGCAUGCAAACAUUCUAAGGUUUAUUCAUUAAAUACCGAUACAUAAUGAAUUCAAAACAGAAUUGUAAAAUGUUGGCAAAAUAGUUUAUUCAGAAAAACAUCUUAACGCAAGCAUAGUCACAAUGUGGGACGCUAUAGGCACCCAGACCACUUCAACUGAUUGAAGUAGUCUGGGUACAUAUUCCCAGGUCCUUUAACCCUGGAAAGUUAAUUAUUGUUGUUUUUAAUUAACUGCAAUAAUAAUCUUUAUGGGUUAACUCCACCUCUAGUGGCUGUCUACCAUACAGCAACAAGAGGGACUUCCUGGUCGUUAGACUUUUGGUUGCCUAACUGACGCUGGACAUCCUCAUGCAAUGAAUGAUGACAUCCAGCGUCACCUGAAACAACAUAGGAAAGCAUUGUACAGGGUAGCCCAUAAGUCCCUACCCAUCCAGUACACAGAUACACUGGAUAUAUGGAUGGGUAGGGACUUAUGGGCCAUCCUGUACAGUGCUUUCCUAUGGGGCUGUUAUAAUUUGAGUGCAGCCAUUGCCGUGCAUUAGCUCUCCCCCCUCCUGACGUCGGCGAAGGUGGACUCCAAGCCAGCGCUAAGGGGCAUUGGCACUGAAACAAGCUAAGUGAUAGAAGGGAUUUCAACCCCUACUGCACCACCAGGGGGAGCACUAUAGGGAGCGAUAGUGCCAGGAAAACAAAUUUGUUUCCCUUUAAAGGACCACUAUAGGCACCAGGACCACUUCACCUCAAUGAAGUGGUCUAGGUGCCAGGUCCAUCUAGAGUUAACCCUGCCUGCUGUAAACAUAGCAGUUUCAGAGAAACUGCUAUGUUUACAUAUGAGUUAAUCCAGCCUCGAGUGGCUGUCUCAUUGACAGCCGCUAGAGGCGCUUCUGCACUUCUCACUGUGAUUUUCACAGUGAGAUGACGCCAGCAUCCAUAGGAAAGCAUUGAGAAUGCUUUCCUAUGGACUGACUGAAUGCACGCGCAGCUCUUGCCGUGCAUGUGCAUUCAGUCGAUGACGUUGGAGAGUCCCUAGCGCCGAGGGAGCCCGGCGCUAAAGAAAGGUAAGAUUUUAACCCCUUCCUCCCCCUAGAGCCCGGCAGGAGGAGGGCCAUGAGGGUCGGGGGGACCUAUUAACACUAUAGUGCCAGGAAAACAAAUUUGUUUUCCUGGGACUAUAGUGGUCCUUUAAGUUUUGCAGUUUAAUUUUUUUUACUUCACUACAAUACAGUACCUCCCUGGAAAUAUAAGGAAGGGAGGACAUGACUGCUGGCAGGGAUAAGGGGAUACAUUGUGGCACUUGGGGUACGUUAAGAAGGGGAAAAGGGGGAGGGUACUCACCAGUUCCCGGGCAGAGGUGUAGUGUUGCUAGCUUCCCCCAGGGACUGUAAUAAAAUACAAGCAAUAAUAUUAUAUUCUGCAGUAAACUAAAUAAUUUUGCUCAAUUAGCCAUUUCUCCAGUUUCACAUCUUCAAGGAAUACUUAGCUGGGAUCUGAAAAAUGGCAUCGGUGUCCAGAGAAGCUGUGGUAGCCUUGUUACAGGCAUACCUGGAGUCCCCUGGUGCCGGAUCCUUGGACGUGUCGGGGCCAGUGACUCUGGUUAUUCAUGUGGGGGGGGGGGGUAAUGACCUAGGGCGCAGAAGGUCAGUGGACCUCCUGCAUGCCAUUAUGUAUGAUUUGGGGUGUUGUAUGGCCCUCUUCCCCGAUUUGACCCUUAUUUGGUCGGACAUAGUGUCCAGGCCGGACUCGUGGCACUUGGGGUACGUUAAGAGGGGAGAAAAGGGGAGGGUACUCAACAGUUCCCGGGCAGAGGUGUAGUGUUGCUAGCUUCCCGCCUGCCCACCCAAACAUGUUUACGAUGGUGUUGCUGUUGGUUGUGUGCUGUUGUUUUCUCUGUUUUGUCACAGCUCGCGGUAGUCCUGGCUAGCGAAGAGGAUUGGAAGGAAGUGCCCAAGCGGCUUGGGGAGUCGCAGCCUGCUGAGAGCUGAUGGCGGGGGCAGGCUGCUCCAGACUCGUGGGUCAUUUUGAUAGAGCUGUCUGUUGGUAAUCCCCCAACAGCUGACAGGUUGUGGACGCUGGCGAUAAUCUGUUGAUAAUCAAUUAAUAAAGCUGUGGCCGUUGCCCUUACCCAUACAGAAG